AUUCCAGCUCCAAUAGCGUAUAUUUAAGUUGCUGCAGUUAAAAAGCUCGUAGUUGGAUUUCGGAUGGGAUUUGCCGGUCCGCCGUUUCGGUGUGCACUGGCCAGUCCCAUCUUGUUGUCGGGGACUAGCUCCUGGGCUUCACUGUCCGGGACUAGGAGCUGACGAGGUUACUUUGAGUAAAUUAGAGUGUUCAAAGCAAGCCUACGCUCUGAAUACAUUAGCAUGGAAUAACAUGAUAGGACUCUGGCUUAUCUUGUUGGUCUGUGAGACCAGAGUAAUGAUUAAGAGGGACAGUCGGGGGCAUUCGUAUUUCAUUGUCAGAGGUGAAAUUCUUGGAUUUAUGAAAGACGAACUUCUGCGAAAGCAUUUGUCAAGGAUGUUUUCAUCG
This 388-nucleotide ribosomal RNA is filed under the name Tetraselmis sp. Its description in RNAcentral is "partial small subunit ribosomal RNA". It matches the Rfam family "Eukaryotic small subunit ribosomal RNA", at positions 582 to 975 of the family's 1831-position model. The record is from RNAcentral. Lineage: Eukaryota; Viridiplantae; Chlorophyta; Chlorodendrophyceae; Chlorodendrales; Chlorodendraceae.